AAGCGUACACGGUGGAUGCCCUGGCAGUCAGAGGCGAUGAAGGACGUGCUAAUCUGCGAUAAGCGUCGGUAAGGUGAUAUGAACCGUUAUAACCGGCGAUUUCCGAAUGGGGAAACCCAGUGUGAUUCGUCACACUAUCAUUAACUGAAUCCAUAGGUUAAUGAGGCGAACCGGGGGAACUGAAACAUCUAAGUACCCCGAGGAAAAGAAAUCAACCGAGAUUCCCCCAGUAGCGGCGAGCGAACGGGGAGGAGCCC
This 257-nucleotide ribosomal RNA is filed under the name Escherichia coli. Its description in RNAcentral is "partial 23S ribosomal RNA". It matches the Rfam family "Bacterial large subunit ribosomal RNA", at positions 13 to 270 of the family's 2925-position model. Lineage: Bacteria; Pseudomonadati; Pseudomonadota; Gammaproteobacteria; Enterobacterales; Enterobacteriaceae. The record is from RNAcentral.